UCAGAUUUAUGAAUGUGAACAGCAGGAUAUCGAUUUUAAGGAUGCUUUAGGGUCAAUGACAAUGAAAUCACGAGAGAUAAAGGCUAAAAUGUGAGACUGUCAAUCUGACUAACCUUGAAGUGAACAAAUGGAAAAAAUGUUUCUUUCAAUAGCAUGGGCUUUUAAGGAAGAGGAAACAGAGGCGCUUAUAUGAUAGAACAGUAAAAGCAGGAGUGAUAAGGAAAGAUACAUGUAGAUGUGUCUUCAUGUCGGAAACACUAAAGAAAUAGAAAUAUUGUGGUUUUAUAAAACUUAAAAGAAAUUGGAAUAUCAGGAGACUGCCUGCCCUUUGCAAUGUUGGAUAAUGAGUUCUUAGAUGUGAUGUGGAAAGCCUCAUGAAUAUAGUACCAUGACUUAAUCUAAUUAGAAAAAGAAAUGACAUUGAGGAGAAAACUAGUCACCAGUCUUUCACCAAGAACUAAAGAUAACUUUCCAAUAUUUGAAAUAUCAUAAUAUGUAUAAAACUUUAUUGAGCCACCAGUUUUUCACCAGGAAAAUAAGAUCACUUAACUAUUUUUAGGUCACCUGUCACAAAGUGACAGGGUGAGCUUUUUUGAUCGCUUUUUUCGUCUGGCGUCCACUUUAAAUGACAUUUCCUCAUAAACCACUAAGCCAAUUUCAUCCAAACUUCACAGGAAUGUUUCUUUGGUGGUCACCUCUAAAUAUUGUUCAUAGAACGCUGGUUGCCAU
Long non-coding RNA from Ruditapes philippinarum (Manila clam), 729 nucleotides. RefSeq lists it as uncharacterized. The record is from RefSeq and is a predicted model, not a curated record. Lineage: Eukaryota; Metazoa; Mollusca; Bivalvia; Venerida; Veneridae. The transcript has 2 exons.